AAUUAUUCAAUUUUUAUACGACCGCAAAAUUUGAAAAAUUUUUCGUCGUAUAUUGCUAUCACGUUGGCGUCGUCGUCUGCGUCGUCGUCGUCCGAAUACUUUUAGUUUUCGCACUCUAACUUUAGUAAAAGUGAAUAGAAAUCUAUGAAAUUUUAACACAAGGUUUAUGACCACAAAAGGAAGGUUGGGAUUGAUUUUGAGAGUUUUUGUCCCAACAUUUUAGGAAUUAGGGGCCAAAAAGGGCCC
Molecule: long non-coding RNA, 246 nt
Filed under: Mytilus galloprovincialis (Mediterranean mussel)
Lineage: Eukaryota; Metazoa; Mollusca; Bivalvia; Mytilida; Mytilidae
Source: RNAcentral